Pedobacter ginsenosidimutans is the source of this 65-nucleotide non-coding RNA. The record is from Rfam. NCBI's taxonomy places the organism in Bacteria, Pseudomonadati, Bacteroidota, Sphingobacteriia, Sphingobacteriales, Sphingobacteriaceae.
AGAUGGUGGAGCAGCUACCACAUCAAAAACGGGCGAAACCGAAAAGCCUUAAGAGUAGGAGAUUA